Molecule: long non-coding RNA, 207 nt
Filed under: Linum usitatissimum (flax)
Lineage: Eukaryota; Viridiplantae; Streptophyta; Magnoliopsida; Malpighiales; Linaceae
Description: long non-coding RNA (LUSI_LNC000423)
Source: RNAcentral
AGGGCUGCGGCAGAACUUUCAACUCGUGAUAACAUUAAUUGGCAACAUUCAAGAGAGCAGCGCUUAGCUUCGGGUUCUUCACCAAGAUAUGAAGGGCAUUAUACUGGCUCUAGAUUGCAAGGUGAGGAACUUUCCAAGGAUAUGGCAAACACAUCCAAAAUUAAGUCUCAUGUGUCCAAUGAACAGCUUGAUGACACUGGAGAAGAU